Molecule: ribosomal RNA, 215 nt
Filed under: uncultured bacterium
Lineage: Bacteria
Description: partial 16S ribosomal RNA
Rfam family: Bacterial small subunit ribosomal RNA
Source: RNAcentral
UCCCAGUUCGGAUCGCAGGCUGCAACCCGCCUGCGUGAAGUUGGAAUCGCUAGUAAUCGCGGAUCAGCAUGCCGCGGUGAAUACGUUCCCGGGCCUUGUACACACCGCCCGUCACACCAUGAGAGUCGGGAACACCCGAAGUCCGUAGCCUGACCGCGAAGGGGGCGCGGCCGAAGGUGGGUUCGAUAAUUGGGGUGAAGUCGUAACAAGGUAUC